This 301-nucleotide ribosomal RNA is filed under the name uncultured bacterium. RNAcentral's name for it is "partial 16S ribosomal RNA". It matches the Rfam family "Bacterial small subunit ribosomal RNA", at positions 509 to 807 of the family's 1533-position model. The record is from RNAcentral.
CAGCCGCCGCGGGAAUACGAAGGGGGCUAGCGUUGCUCGGAAUGACUGGGCGUAAAGGGCGCGUAGGCGGUCACGAUAGUCAGAUGUGAAAUUCCUGGGCUUAACCUGGGGACUGCAUUUGAUACUGUGUGGCUUGAGUGUGGAAGAGGGUCGUGGAAUUCCCAGUGUAGAGGUGAAAUUCGUAGAUAUUGGGAAGAACACCGGUGGCGAAGGCGGCGACCUGGUCCAUAACUGACGCUGAGGCGCGAAAGCGUGGGGAGCAAACAGGAUUAGAUACCCCGGUAGUCCCUGUCUCUUAUAC